Molecule: long non-coding RNA, 1176 nt
Filed under: Homo sapiens (human)
Lineage: Eukaryota; Metazoa; Chordata; Mammalia; Primates; Hominidae
Description: HSALNT0268570
Source: RNAcentral
GCCAACGUGGGCCCGAACAAUGGGCCUUUGUGCCCGGCGUGGGCGCGUUGUCAAGGUGCGCAGCCCUGGCCCUGGGCCCUGGCCUCGGCCUCCAUGAGGGCAGAGGGGCCAGGCCAGGGGGUCUGCGGGGGCCGGGAAACCCAGCAGAAGAGAGAGCAAGUCUGAGAUUCUCACAAUGAACGAAGGCCAAGGCACAGGGGGCUCAGCCCAACAUCCCCCGCCCAUCUCUGGGAGGACCCCCAGAUGGCAUCAGCCACAACAUUGCUCGGAAAAUGUCUCCCGUCCACAGGUCCCUCCUGACCAGCUCUUCUCCCCAACAAGAUCGUGUGCCCCUUGGGAAGCCACCUGGUCAGCAUUUUCACAGAUGCUUGCAAAGCUCCUAUGGCCAGGUGGAAAUGAGGACAAAGACCCUGAGAGACAGGAAGAAGGAGACCGAGACAGAGGAAGCGGGCGGUGGCGGAACAGAGAGAAAUAAGCGGAUAUGAAGAGACAACAGGGCUGGAGAGACACGGGGAGAGUGACAGUGACAGAGAUGGAGAGAGCAGAAACCAAAACUCAGACAGAUCUGACUCCCGCAUCGCCUUCCGUAACGUGAGCCUCCAUAACCAUCAAAAUCACAGGGUUGGGUGAGCAUUUGCUAAGUGCGGACACUGUGCUAAACGCUUUUCUGUGAACGAUCAUGCUUGAUUCUCACAACCUCCCUGUGAGAGGAGGGAUCCUCUCAUUCCUUGUUUUAAAGAUGAGAAAACCGAGGCACAGAGAGGUUGGCCGGCUUGCAUUCCAUCACACAGCCAGCAGGCGGUGAAGCCAGGUGUGACCUCAGGCCCGCCCCAGACCCAAGGCUGAGCCAUUCUCUCCAGUCUUGGAGUGUCUAGGUUUGUUUUAGGGCAGCUCUUCUCAUUUUCAGCUGUGCUGGUGAAUCCCUUGCAGACUUGUAAAAAUGUCCAUCCUAGGCUGGGCGCUGUGGCUCAUGCCUGUAAUCCCAGCACUUUGGUUGGGAGGCUGAGGCAGGUGGAUCACUUGAGAUCAGGAGUUUGAGACCAGCCUGGCCAACAUGGCGAAACCUGUCUCUACUAAAAAUACAAAAAUUAGCCAGGGAUGGUGACGUGCACGUGUAAUCUCAGUUACUCGGGAGGCUGAGGCAGGAGAGUUGCUUGAACCAGGAGGCAGAGGUUG